RNAcentral lists this ribosomal RNA (417 nucleotides) under uncultured bacterium. RNAcentral describes it as "partial 16S ribosomal RNA". It matches the Rfam family "Bacterial small subunit ribosomal RNA", at positions 355 to 764 of the family's 1533-position model. The record is from RNAcentral.
UAGGGAAUCUUCCACAAUGGACGCAAGUCUGAUGGAGCAACGCCGCGUGAGUGAAGAAGGCUUUCGGGUCGUAAAACUCUGUUAUUGAAGAAGAACGUGUGUGACAGUAACUGGUCAUGCAGUGACGGUAUUCAAUCAGAAAGUCACGGCUAACUACGUGCCAGCAGCCGCGGUAAUACGUAGGUGGCAAGCGUUGUCCGGAUUUAUUGGGCGUAAAGCGAGUGCAGGCGGUCUUUUAAGUCUGAUGUGAAAGCCUUCGGCUUAACCGAAGAAGGGCAUCGGAAACUGGGAGACUUGAGUGCAGAAGAGGAGAGUGGAACUCCAUGUGUAGCGGUGAAAUGCGUAGAUAUAUGGAAGAACACCAGUGGCGAAGGCGGCUCUCUGGUCUGUAACUGACGCUGAGGCUCGAAAGCGUGG